This 202-nucleotide ribosomal RNA is filed under the name uncultured bacterium. Its description in RNAcentral is "partial 16S ribosomal RNA". It matches the Rfam family "Bacterial small subunit ribosomal RNA", at positions 1300 to 1500 of the family's 1533-position model. The record is from RNAcentral.
GUAGUCUGCAACUCGACUACAUGAAGCUGGAAUCGCUAGUAAUCGCAGAUCAGAAUGCUGCGGUGAAUACGUUCCCGGGUCUUGUACACACCGCCCGUCACACCAUGGGAGUCGGAAAUGCCCGAAGCCGGUGACCAAACCAAUAAGGAAGGAGCCGUCGAAGGCAGGUCUGAUAACUGGGGUGAAGUCGUAACAAGGUAAC